AAAAAAAAAAAACAGCCUUUGUGUUUUGUGAGUCCAAUAACUUAAACUACCCUAUUCAUUUGAUUCUUUAACGCCCGAUUCUAGAAUAGAAAACACUCUAAAAUAUAACAGCUAUAUUACUAGUGUGGUAUCUGUAACCAAUCAAAUAACUCCUCUAGUGUUCGCCCACUCCAUCAUAAUUUUUAAAAAAUUACGAUGGUUAAUUUUUUUUUUUCUCAAAGAAAGAGAUAUGAUUGGUUCGAUAUAGAUGAUAUAAUGUAACUGCUACAUAUUAUACUCCCUCUUAGAAUAGCCACUCCAGACAUUCUAUAAAUAAAAACUAGGAAUAAUUUUUUAUAAUGCCCUUCUGUCAAACUAUAAUUUUAUUAAUAUUUUUUUAGAUUUUAAAAUAUCACCAAUGCCUUC
This 405-nucleotide long non-coding RNA is filed under the name Ananas comosus (pineapple). RNAcentral describes it as "long non-coding RNA (ACOM_LNC013231)". Lineage: Eukaryota; Viridiplantae; Streptophyta; Magnoliopsida; Poales; Bromeliaceae. The record is from RNAcentral.